GAUGAACGCUGGCGGCGUGCCUAAUACAUGCAAGUCGAGCGAACGGACGAGAAGCUUGCUUCUCUGAUGUUAGCGGCGGACGGGUGAGUAACACGUGGAUAACCCACCUAUAAGACUGGGAUAACUUCGGGAAACCGGAGCUAAUACCGGAUAAUAUUUUGAACCGCAUGGUUCAAAAGUAAAAGACGGUCUUGCUGUCACUUAUAGAUGGAUCCGCGCUGCAUUAGCUAGUUGGUAAGGUAACGGCUUACCAAGGCAACGAUGCAUAGCCGACCUGAGAGGGUGAUCGGCCACACUGGAACUGAGACACGGUCCAGACUCCUACGGGAGGCAGCAGUAGGGAAUCUUCCGCAAUGGGCGAAAGCCUGACGGAGCAACGCCGCGUGAGUGAUGAAGGUCUUCGGAUCGUAAAACUCUGUUAUUAGGGAAGAACAUAUGUGUAAGUAACUGUGCACAUCUUGACGGUACCUAAUCAGAAAGCCACGGCUAACUACGUG
This 497-nucleotide ribosomal RNA is filed under the name uncultured bacterium. RNAcentral's name for it is "partial 16S ribosomal RNA". It matches the Rfam family "Bacterial small subunit ribosomal RNA", at positions 28 to 507 of the family's 1533-position model. The record is from RNAcentral.